ACGGAGGAUGCGAGCGUUAUCCGGAUUUAUUGGGUUUAAAGGGUGCGUAGGCGGUUUAUUAAGUUAGUGGUUAAAUAUUUGAGCUAAACUCAAUUGUGCCAUUAAUACUGGUAAACUGGAGUACAGACGAGGUAGGCGGAAUAAGUUAAGUAGCGGUGAAAUGCAUAGAUAUAACUUAGAACUCCGAUAGCGAAGGCAGCUUACCAGACUGUAACUGACGCUGAUGCACGAGAGCGUGGGUAGCGAACAG
RNAcentral lists this ribosomal RNA (250 nucleotides) under uncultured bacterium. RNAcentral's name for it is "partial 16S ribosomal RNA". It matches the Rfam family "Bacterial small subunit ribosomal RNA", at positions 525 to 775 of the family's 1533-position model. The record is from RNAcentral.